This 442-nucleotide ribosomal RNA is filed under the name uncultured bacterium. RNAcentral describes it as "partial 16S ribosomal RNA". It matches the Rfam family "Bacterial small subunit ribosomal RNA", at positions 338 to 795 of the family's 1533-position model. The record is from RNAcentral.
CCUACGGGAGACAGCAGUGGGGAAUAUUGGGCAAUGGGCGAAAGCCUGACGCAGCAAUGCCGCGUGAAGGAAGAAGGCUUUCGGGUUGUACACUGCUUUGACAGGGGAAGAGCAGAAGACGGUACCCUGGAAACAAGCCACGGCUAACUACGUGCCAGCAGCCGCGGUAAUACGUUGGGGGCAAGCGUUGUCCGGAUUUACUGGGAGUAAAGGGUGAGUAAGCGGCAUGGUAAGCCAGUUGUGAAAGCCUUGGGCUUAAACCGAGGAUUGCAUUUGGAACUAUCAAGCUAGAGUUAAGGAGAGGAAAGCGGAAGUCCAAGUGUAGCGGUGAAAUGCGUAGAUAUUAGGAAGAACACCAGUGGCGAAGGCGGCUUUCUGGACUGAAACUGACGCUGAGGGACGAAAGCGUGGGGAGCGAACAGGAUUAGAUACCCCAGUAGUC